AUAGGUUAGACAAUGGAUUUGUAUAGGAUGGUUUGGAUAGAGAUGAUCCUACCUCUGGCAGGGAGUUGGUCUAGAUGAUCUCCGAAAGUCCCUUCCAGCCCUAACUGGUUUAUGAUCC
Molecule: long non-coding RNA, 118 nt
Organism: Gavialis gangeticus (Gharial)
Lineage: Eukaryota; Metazoa; Chordata; Crocodylia; Gavialidae
Exons: 3
Source: RefSeq, a predicted model, not a curated record